CACACACACACACACACACAGACACACACACACACACACACAAGACACACACACACACACACACACAGACACACACACACACACACACACACACACAGACACACACACAGACACACACACACACACACACACACACACACACACACACACACACACACACACCACACACACACACACACACACACUGUCUUAGUAAAUCCAUAAUCCUCCAUUAAGGCACUAAGCCUUUCUUUUAACUCCUCAGCCUCUGCACUCCGAGACUCCCACAUCUCCUCCUCCUCCUCCUCCUCAGCUCCUUCACACAUCUCCUCCUCCUCAGCUCCUUCACACAUCUCCUCCCCCUCCUCCUCAGCUCCUUCACACAUCUCCUCCUCCUCACUCCUUCACACAUCUCCUCCUCCUCGUCUCCUCACACAUCUCCUCCUCCUCAGCUCCUUCACACAUCUCCUCCUCCUCGUCUCCUUCACACAUCUCCUCCUCCUCGGUGUGAUGUAUAAAACCCUUUGUGUCUUCGGGAUCAUUUCCUUCUCUUUUAUCUGUGACGUGGGCGACAUGAUCCUCUAAAACUGCAACUGUCACUUUAUCCCGAACACAAGCGGGUGGAGCGCUGGACCACGUGUUUGUGUUCGGCCCGAAUCGACGCGCCGCCUCCUGCGUGUUCUUAUUCCCUUCUGACGGAGACCGUCACAGGGUGGACAGAAUAACAGAAACACCGUUGCUCUCUGGACAUUAUUAAUCUGUAGUUGACCUUCGUCUCCUUGUGUUAAAAUGUACGACUCUGUUUGGUGUCGACGAAGCUCAGAUGUGAGCACAACUAUGCAAGGAAUCUGUGCCGUUGGUGCAAUAAUGUCUCCUAACCCUCUUUAAAAUGAACGAUGACAUCAUGCUCGUACCAAACAUUUAACAAAACCCCAGUCCUAACCUCGUUCAUCUUCUAACAGACCAAAAGACAAUCAAAGUUAAAAGACAGCGUUUCUUUCUUUUUAAGUAAAAGUGACAAAAAAGGACCAAAAUGUACUUAGUGUUUUAAUAUUUAUGGGAAUGUUUUGUGUGUAACUGCCAAAUAAAAUGAUAUGAAAG
Gasterosteus aculeatus aculeatus (three-spined stickleback) is the source of this 1080-nucleotide long non-coding RNA. The record is from Ensembl. NCBI's taxonomy places the organism in Eukaryota, Metazoa, Chordata, Actinopteri, Perciformes, Gasterosteidae.